UCUAGUUUUGUUCGAACUUCGAAGACUCAUCCGGCUCUCACUCUUUCUCGAUUCUGCUCCCCAUCCUCGCAGUUUCCCCGGCACAUCGACCUUCGUCUUCCACUUCGGUCGGCGUUUGUUGGAGCCUUGUUCGGAGGCUCAUCUUCCAUUCUUUGGCGUCUUCUUCUCUUCUCAGCUUAUCCCGUCUCUGCAGCUUCGAUAAUAGAAGCCAAGUGCACCCAAAGGAUUGGGAUUUGGUCCCUUUAAUAUUCCGCCAGCUUCAUGAAGCUCAGAAAUUGACAAUUUAAGGUUAUUAUUAUGUCUUCUCAAAAUGGGUAUGAGAGCCCCCACCAUCAGCAGCAACAACAGCCGCUACAGCUGCAACCUACUGGUGGAGAGCACCAUUUUGGUGUGAACUCUGAAACCAUUGCUGAGGUGGGAUGGUAUGUUCUUGGAGAAAAUCAGCAGCAGGUGGGCCCAUAUGCUAUCUCAGAGCUGUGCGAGCAUUUCUUAAAUGGAUACCUUUCGGAAAACACACUUGUAUGGUCAGAAGGAAGAACUGAAUGGCAGCCAUUGUCCUCAGUUCCUGAGUUGUGGACAAGAAUUUACUCACAGGGAUCUGAUUAUUCAGCUGCAGAGUUUGAGAGAUGGCAGAAUGAGAUAAAGGAAGCAGAAGCACAAUUUGAAGGGUCUGAAUUUGGAUCUGUUUCUGGCGAUGUUGGGGCUGAAAUUGGAGGUGAUUCUGAUAGACCUUCCACCCCACCUGAGGGUGAAGAAGAAUUUACUGAUGACGAUGGGACUAAAUAUAAGUGGAAUAAGAAUCUUAGGGUUUGGAUUCCCCAGGAGUACCCAUCUGGCAGCAAUGAUCCUUAUGGAGUUGAAGAGAUGACUUUCUUGGAGGAAGAGGAAGUUUUCCCCUCGUUAACUGGUUCUGAUGCUUCUUUAAAGGAUGAAGGUUCAAAACUAAGUAGUUCUAUGGCUUCAACAAAGGAAGAAGAAAGUGUUACCGAUAUGGGAGCUGAAGGAAAGAACGAUGGAAAGAGGAAGCUUUCAGAUAAGCAAGACGAAAAGAAGGAAGCUAAUAAACCGCCUGAUAGUUGGUUUGAGUUAAAAGUCAAUACACAUGUUUAUGUCACUGGGUUGCCGGAGGAUGUUACCACUGAAGAAGUGGUGGAGGUGUUUUCCAAGUGUGGCAUUAUAAAGGAGGACCCUGAAACCAAAAGGCCUCGAAUCAAGCUUUAUGUUGAUAAAGAGACUGGAAGAAAAAAGGGAGAUGCAUUGGUCACAUAUCUGAAGGAACCCUCAGUUGCUUUGGCAAUUCAAAUAUUGGAUGGAACUCCUCUUCGCCCUGGUAGCAAGAUUCCCAUGUCUGUCACCCAUGCUAAAUUUGAGCAAAAAGGAGAAACAUUCAUAGCGAAGCAAGUAGAUAAUAAAAAGAAGAGGAAAUUGAAAAGAGUGGAAGAGAAGAUGCUUGGCUGGGGUGGUCGUGAUGAUGCAAAAGUUUCAAUUCCAGCCACCAUCAUCCUUCGUUAUAUGUUCACACCCACGGAAUUAAGGGCUGAUGAAAAUUUACGUUCAGAGCUAGAAGAAGAUGUUAAAGGGGAAUGUGUGAAGCUUGGCCCUGUGGACUCAGUGAAGAUUUGUGAGAAUCAUCCUCAGGGUGUUGUUUUAGUGAAAUUCAAGGAUAGGAAGGAUGCUCAGAAGUGCAUAGAAUUGAUGAAUGGGAGAUGGUUUGGCGGAAGACAGAUACAUGCCAGUGAGGAUGAUGGUUCAGUUGAUCAUACCGCUGUCCGGGAUUACGAUGAAGAUGCCAUGCGACUGGAGCAGUUUGGCGCAGAACUUGAAGCUGACUGAGUUUAAUUCGCUUGAUCUGAUUUUACCUUAGUAACUCCUUAUUCGAGCGAGACUUCCGGAGAUCUUGACUUUUCACUCUGGUUCAUGCCACAUUUACACUCAUUUGCACACUGACAAAUGUGUGCUAUAUUGCUAGCAGGAUUUUAUUUUUGCUGUUCUCAAAGAAGGGUGUCAUUGAUGCGUGCUGAUAAACUGGACAAAAGCUAUUUGAUGGAGUCCGAAUCUUGUUUGUGUUCCUGGCAUUUGUUAUGGGAUGAUUGAGGAGGAUAACUGAUUAAUCGAUUUUUUUUCAGAGACACGUGUAGUACUUUACGUAUUAGUGACUGGCCUUUCUAUUUCUUUUUUAAAAAAAAAAAGUGUGGAGAUAAUAUAUAUUUUUUUGUUUUGGAUAACGAGGAUAUUUGCAGGAAAAAGAGAAAACUUCAGACUAAAGUUUCAACAAAUAGCAGAAAGCUAGAGUUCAACUGUGUUGCAUCCAAUGAUGUGUGUUAUUUUGAACAUUUUCAAUAGAGAAGUCUUCUGUGAUGGAAUUUUUGUGGCGAGUUUAGUUUGUAUCCUCCAUUGCAAGUGAGGAUGAGAGAUCUUAAGUAAGAAGAAUCUCCCAAAUGUUCCACCAUGAUAUUCUUAAUCCAAUAGCAUUGUAUGCAAGGAUUCACGAAUUA
RNA transcript from Prosopis cineraria, 2495 nucleotides. It is a transcript of the gene named splicing factor U2AF-associated protein 2-like, with no coding region annotated. The record is from RefSeq and is a predicted model, not a curated record. Lineage: Eukaryota; Viridiplantae; Streptophyta; Magnoliopsida; Fabales; Fabaceae. The transcript is spliced from 18 exons.